CGCACAUUGCACCCUCUGGUAUUCCAGAGGGUAUGCCUGUUUGAGCGUCAUUUCUCUCUCAAACCCCCGGGUUUGGUAUUGAGUGAUACUCUUAGUCGAACUAGGCGUUUGCUUGAAAUAUAUUGGCACGAGUAGUGUUGAACAGUGUUGUCUGAACAUCAAUGUAUUAGGUUUAUCCAACUCGUUGAUACAGGUGGUGCGAUUCUUCAUUAGGCUUUGCCUUAUAAAACACAAACAAGUUUGACCUCAAAUCAGGUAGGAUUACCCGCUGAACUUAA
This 278-nucleotide unclassified non-coding RNA is filed under the name Suzukiozyma glaebosa. RNAcentral's name for it is "[Candida] glaebosa partial contains 5.8S ribosomal RNA, internal transcribed spacer 2, and large subunit ribosomal RNA". The record is from RNAcentral. Lineage: Eukaryota; Fungi; Ascomycota; Pichiomycetes; Serinales; Debaryomycetaceae.